UACGGAGGGUGCAAGCGUUGUUCGGAAUCAUUGGGCGUAAAGCGCGUGUAGGCGGCUUGGCAAGUCGGUUGUGAAAGCCCGGGGCCCAACCCCGGAACUGCAUCUGAAACUGCCUGGCUAGAGUCCCGGAGAGGAAGGCAGAAUUCCCGGUGUAGGGGUUAAAUCCGUAGAUAUCGGGAGGAAUACCAGCGGCGAAGGCGGCCUUCUGGACGGUGACUGACGCUGAGACGCGAAAGCGUGGGGAGCAAACAGG
RNAcentral lists this ribosomal RNA (253 nucleotides) under uncultured bacterium. Its description in RNAcentral is "partial 16S ribosomal RNA". It matches the Rfam family "Bacterial small subunit ribosomal RNA", at positions 524 to 776 of the family's 1533-position model. The record is from RNAcentral.